Long non-coding RNA from Trichogramma pretiosum, 1257 nucleotides. RefSeq lists it as uncharacterized. NCBI's taxonomy places the organism in Eukaryota, Metazoa, Arthropoda, Insecta, Hymenoptera, Trichogrammatidae. The record is from RefSeq and is a predicted model, not a curated record. The transcript is spliced from 2 exons.
GGUGCCAUAGACUUUUGGAACUUAACAUUAAUUGACAUCGGGCCUUGGCACCUGCGCGCACUUUUGUAACGCUCUCCGCUAAACGCGCCGGGCUAUAUAAUACGCGCGAGCCUCUAUAAUUCAGCACGCGCAUAGGUACUGCCUUAAGUAGUACGUAAUGACGAGCAUCGAUGCUCCUGUCGAGCUCUCGCGGCUACAGAGCCCUAAUGUCUUCGUUGCGGCCGUUUAGAAGAUACCCUCGGCUUAUAGAGAAAAUUGCUUCUCCUGCAUGUACCCAAGUCCAACGCAGGCUGCUUUUCGCUCUUUCUUUUCUUUAAACUCGAAAAACGGCAUGAACGUCUUGAAAAUUGGCUAAAUGUUUUUUACCACAAAUACUUAUCGCUUGCGCACUGCUCUCGAGUUAUAUUCCACAAAUACAGAUGCGUGAAAUAUUUGCCAGAGAAUAUACAAUUCUUCACGCGCAGUACACAAUGUCAAGCGAGAGAGAGAGAAUUAAGAUUGUUUGUUCCGCGAAAAGUUUUCUUUGAAUCGCGCAAAUGCUCUAAUCCGUAAGAUAGUGUAGUAUCAGUCAAUUCGAUCAGAAAACAACUACACGUACGACGAAUUUCCUCAUUCGGAGUGCACGAUAAAAAAGAGUCAUUUUUCCUCGAGUAAUCGCAGUUUUCAUUACGAAGCCAUCAUUACGAAGUAAGGAUGAAAAUAGCAGUUUUUUUGCUACUGGUGGCAUUGGCACUGAUCUGGGAGCCCGCCGCUGCACAAGGUGCCUCUUCGUGCGCCACCGUACUCUGUAACGCUGCUACUACCUGUCAAAAUGGCCAAUGCUUACGCAAUUGUUCCGGACUUCGGUGUCGAAGUGGUUAUAGGUGCGUCGAGCGACCUUUGCCUGCCAGAUGCGUCAAAAAUUGACAAAAACAAAAUGACGGGGGCAGACUUUCACAAACUCUUCAUGUUAGAACUUUGCCUAAUUGAGUAAUUAGUCUCGCAACUGGACAAACAACUCAAUUCCUUGAAGCUGCUAUACAUAAAUUUAUAUAAACUAGUAAUAAACGAUAUUAUAUUAAUGUGCCUCAUGCUAUCUUCGAUGCAUUUAGGUGACGAUGGCGUAAUAUACACGUUCAAGGUUCAAACUGUAUAAUAUGGGGAUAUGGGCCUUUGCCUACGACUUCUUUUCUGUAUCCAUUUAGAAUGCCACUAGACAGAUAACUGUGUUAAUAUUGUUCACAGGGUUAUUAAUGCAAAAUAAAUAUGUAAAAGCAA